Long non-coding RNA from Dendrobium catenatum, 848 nucleotides. RefSeq lists it as uncharacterized. NCBI's taxonomy places the organism in Eukaryota, Viridiplantae, Streptophyta, Magnoliopsida, Asparagales, Orchidaceae. The transcript has 2 exons. The record is from RefSeq and is a predicted model, not a curated record.
GCUCCUGUUCAGUAAACAACAGCUUCCACAGUAACAGAUUUAUAGAACAUGCAAAUCUGAUAAAAAUUUUGAAGGGGAUUUUUAUAGAUGUCGUAAAAAAUUUAUGUGUUUAUAUAUGAUACAUCUAUAAAGGAUUUUUACAUAUCUAACACUUAAAACUCUUUUAUUUACUCACCUAACACCUAAAGUUUUCUAUUUACACACCUACCAGAUAAAAUAUAUUCACUUCAUCUAAAAUACCACUCUUGUUACCUCCCAUCAAAACCUCACACCGAUAUGAAAGUCAGGGUUGCAUGCAACAACUCUUCUUCACUCCGCAACUUCUGUUCGCAUCGCCAUUUCGUCUUCUCCAUUUAUUUGCGUAGUUAUUGUGGGUUUGCGAAAUGAGUUCGAACCGCUUGACGACACAAAUGCAAAACCUAGACAACCCAAUAUAUUGUCGUUGCAAUCUGCAAUGUACAAUCUAUACUUGCUAUAAAGCUAAUAAUCGUGGCAGAAAGUUCAAUCGAUGUCCCCGGAACAGAUCAGAAAAUGAUUGUUGAUUUUUUAGGUGGUUUGACGAGAGAAAUGGCUUUUUGAAAGGUAUGAAUCGUUUUACAAGUGCAAAUGCAGCUGAAGUUCGUUUCAACGAUGCUGUCUCAGUUACAACUGAGUUUCUUCAAAUUAAAAUGUUAUUGGUGAUCCUCAUUUUGCUUGUUGCAGUUGCCUUAAAUUCUAUAUCAGAGUGUUGUAAUUGUAAAUGAACAUAAUCCUCAUUUUGCUUGUGUAAUUCUGUAAAUGCCCGACGUUCUGUAGAAGUUGAACGUUUUAAAGCUUGAAGUUUUUUAUCUAUAUCCAGUAAUUGGUUA